UCUAGCGAGGCUGCCAGCGAUAAGCUGGAGGAAGGUGGGGAUGACGUCAAAUCAUCAUGCCCCUUAUGACCCUGGGCUACAAACGUGAUACAAUGGCUGGGAACAAAGGGAGGCGAAGGGGUGACCUGGAGCGAAACCCAAAAAUACAGUCUCAGUUCGGAUUGAAGUCUGCAACUCGACUUCAUGAAGUCGGAAUCGCUAGUAAUCGCGGAUCAGAACGCCGCGGUGAAUACGUUCUCGGGGUUU
Molecule: ribosomal RNA, 246 nt
Filed under: uncultured Acholeplasma sp.
Lineage: Bacteria; Bacillati; Mycoplasmatota; Mollicutes; Acholeplasmatales; Acholeplasmataceae
Description: partial 16S ribosomal RNA
Rfam family: Bacterial small subunit ribosomal RNA
Source: RNAcentral